This 440-nucleotide ribosomal RNA is filed under the name uncultured bacterium. Its description in RNAcentral is "partial 16S ribosomal RNA". It matches the Rfam family "Bacterial small subunit ribosomal RNA", at positions 338 to 795 of the family's 1533-position model. The record is from RNAcentral.
CCUACGGGCGGCAGCAGUGGGGAAUCUUGCACAAUGGGGGAAACCCUGAUGCAGCGACGCCGCGUGAGUGAAGAAGUAAUUCGUUAUGUAACGCUCUAUCAGCAGGGAAGAAAAUGACGGUACCUGAGUAAGAAGCCCAGGCUAACUACGUGCCAGCAGCCGCGGUAAUACGUAGGGGGCAAGCGUGAUCCGGAUUUACUGGGUGUAAAGGGAGCGUAGACGGCAGUGCAAGUCUGGAGUGAAAGGCGGGGGCUCAACCCCCGGACUGCGCUGGAAACUGUACGGCUGGAGGGCAGGAGAGGUAAGUGGAAUUCCUAGUGUAGCGGUGAAAUGCGUAGAUAUUGCGCAGAACUCCGAUGGCGAAGGCAGCAUACCGGCGGCGAUCUGACGCUGAGGCACGAAAGCGUGGGUAUCGAACAGGAUUAGAUACCCGAGUAGUC